This 253-nucleotide ribosomal RNA is filed under the name uncultured bacterium. Its description in RNAcentral is "partial 16S ribosomal RNA". It matches the Rfam family "Bacterial small subunit ribosomal RNA", at positions 524 to 776 of the family's 1533-position model. The record is from RNAcentral.
UACGAAGGGGGCUAGCGUUGCUCGGAAUCACUGGGCGUAAAGGGUGCGUAGGCGGGUCUUUAAGUCAGGGGUGAAAUCCUGGAGCUCAACUCCAGAACUGCCUUUGAUACUGAGGAUCUUGAGUUCGGGAGAGGUGAGUGGAACUGCGAGUGUAGAGGUGAAAUUCGUAGAUAUUGGGAAGAACACCGGUGGCGAAGGCGGCUCACUGGCUCGUAACUGACGCUCAUGCACGACAGCGUGGGGAUCAAACAGG